RNAcentral lists this ribosomal RNA (250 nucleotides) under uncultured bacterium. Its description in RNAcentral is "partial 16S ribosomal RNA". It matches the Rfam family "Bacterial small subunit ribosomal RNA", at positions 524 to 775 of the family's 1533-position model. The record is from RNAcentral.
UACGAAGGGGCUAGCGUUGUUCGGAAUUACUGGGCGUAAAGCGCACGUAGGCGGCUUUGUAAGUUAGAGGUGAAAGCCCGGGGCUCAACUCCGGAAUUGCCUUUAAGACUGCAUCGCUAGAAUUGUGGAGAGGUAAGUGGAAUUCCGAGUGUAGAGGUGAAAUUCGUAGAUAUUCGGAAAGAACACCAGUGGCGAAGGCGACUUACUGGACACAUAUUGACGCUGAGGUGCGAAAGCGUGGGAGCAACAG